UACGGGGGGGGCAAGCGUUGUUCGGAAUUACUGGGCGGAAAGGGCUCGUAGGCGGCCAACUAAGUCGGAUGUGAAAUCCCCAGGCUCAACUUGGGAACUGCAUCCGAUACUGGAUGGCUUGAAUUCGGGAGAGGGAUGCAGAAUUCCAGGUGUAGCGGUGAAAUGCGUAGAUAUCUGGAGGAAUACCGGUGGCGAAGGCGGCAUCCUGGACCGACAUUGACGCUGAGGAGCGAAAGCGUGGGGAGCAAACAGG
This 253-nucleotide ribosomal RNA is filed under the name uncultured bacterium. RNAcentral's name for it is "partial 16S ribosomal RNA". It matches the Rfam family "Bacterial small subunit ribosomal RNA", at positions 524 to 776 of the family's 1533-position model. The record is from RNAcentral.